Molecule: ribosomal RNA, 655 nt
Filed under: uncultured Bacteroides sp.
Lineage: Bacteria; Pseudomonadati; Bacteroidota; Bacteroidia; Bacteroidales; Bacteroidaceae
Description: bacterial SSU rRNA
Rfam family: Bacterial small subunit ribosomal RNA
Source: RNAcentral
AGCAUGGUCUUAGCUUGCUAAGGCCGAUGGCGACCGGCGCACAGGUGAGUAACACGUAUCCAACUUUACGUCUACUCUUGGGCAGCCUUCUGAAAGGAAGAUUCAUACAAGAUGGCAUCAUGAGUUCACAUGUUCACAUGAUUAAAGGUAUUCCGGUAGACGAUGGGGAUGCGUUCCAUUAGAUAGUAGGCGGGGUAACGGCCCACCUAGUCUUCGAUGGAUAGGGGUUCUGAGAGGAAGGUCCCCCACAUUGGAACUGAGACACGGUCCAAACUCCUACGGGAGGCAGCAGUGAGGAAUAUUGGUCAAUGGGCGCAGGCCUGAACCAGCCAAGUAGCGUGAAGGAUGACUGCCCUAUGGGUUGUAAACUUCUUUUAUAAAGGAAUAAAGUCGGGUAUGUAUACCCGUUUGCAUGUACUUUAUGAAUAAGGAUCGGCUAACUCCGUGCCAGCAGCCGCGGUAAUACGGAGGAUCCGAGCGUUAUCCGGAUUUAUUGGGUUUAAAGGGAGCGUAGAUGGAUGUUUAAGUCAGUUGUGAAAGUUUGCGGCUCAACCGUAAAAUUGCAGUUGAUACUGGAUAUCUUGAGUGCAGUUGAGGCAGGCGGAAUUCGUGGUGUAGCGGUGAAAUGCUUAGAUAUCACGAAGAACUCCGAUUG